GGGCUCAGCCGGGAUUUGAACCCGGGACCUCUCGCACCCGAAGCGAGAAUCAUACCCCUAGACCACUGAGCC
RNAcentral lists this transfer RNA (72 nucleotides) under Araneus ventricosus. RNAcentral describes it as "tRNA-Pro". The record is from RNAcentral. Lineage: Eukaryota; Metazoa; Arthropoda; Arachnida; Araneae; Araneidae.